This 203-nucleotide long non-coding RNA is filed under the name Coffea arabica (coffee). Its description in RNAcentral is "long non-coding RNA (CARA_LNC005046)". Lineage: Eukaryota; Viridiplantae; Streptophyta; Magnoliopsida; Gentianales; Rubiaceae. The record is from RNAcentral.
UUGAAAUAUCUGACCAACCACUAUUUAUAUAGGACCAAGAAAGUGCCUCAUUAAUGCUUCCAACGGAUAGAAAGUAGCUGAACAGUCAACUAUCCGUUGGCAGUGUCGGACGUCCGGUAGCCCUGUUUUGUGCGUCCGACAGCAGGCAGAGAGUUUAAGAGAUUUUCUUCAAUUCUUUCAGACGUCCGGUAGGCUGAUUUUCU